UGAGACCCAGUGCCGACUAAUUUAAUUAAGAAGAUCUCUGCUGGAAGGUGUCUGGGAAAGAAUUUUCUUCUUAAAGAGAGAUGGAUGAAGAAAGUUCUACAGUGGAACUCUAUCAUAUGUGCAUUAAACUGAAUUGAAAUCAUACGACUCAGCAAAAUCAACAUAACAACUGAUGACAACAAAAACAGCCAUAUAAACAAAAACUGUUGGGCAUUUUAAAAAUACAGAAUGGCUCAAAACUUAAA
Homo sapiens (human) is the source of this 245-nucleotide long non-coding RNA. RefSeq lists it as uncharacterized. The record is from RefSeq and is a predicted model, not a curated record. NCBI's taxonomy places the organism in Eukaryota, Metazoa, Chordata, Mammalia, Primates, Hominidae. The transcript is spliced from 2 exons.